Long non-coding RNA from Passer domesticus (house sparrow), 1104 nucleotides. RefSeq lists it as uncharacterized. The record is from RefSeq and is a predicted model, not a curated record. NCBI's taxonomy places the organism in Eukaryota, Metazoa, Chordata, Aves, Passeriformes, Passeridae. The transcript is spliced from 3 exons.
ACCCAGAGGGCACGGGCUGGAGCCGUGAGGAACCAGCAGCCUCGACUGCAUUCUGACAUGGAAGAUGGGGCUUGGGAGAUGGGCCGAAUGCUUAACUCACCCCGAGAGAACUUGAGCUCUGUCCAGAGGUGAAGAGACACCUCUACAAAAGGCUCCGUGGCCGCCUGCACACUGUGGAGCUUGCUGCUGAACAGAAAUGAAGCACUGAGACAGCAGCAGUGCGUCAGGGCAAAAUGGAAUUUGCAAGACUAAAGUUUACACGAGGCAACAACAAAAUCUACUGUGCCAUUCUGUGAGAAAACAAAGUUGAAAGAGAGAGUCUGCAAGCAAUCUCUUCCUGAGAGCCACAAGGGAGAGAGUGGGCUUGAGCUUCAAUGAUGAAUUAAGGCAGGAGAAAUAAGGAAUCCAGACUGUGCCACAUGGCCUGCAGAGGACUGAGCUGAAGUUGUGCUGGUAACCUUUGUCCUGGCAGUCUGGGGGCUGGUUCUGUUUCUUCACUGUAAGUGUAACAUUGUACCUUGUUCAUGACACUUUGCAAUAGUCAUAGUUAAACAAACAGUGCAGUUCAACGAGUGCUGUGUUAGUCUGGAGUAAAUGCUUGCUUUUUUACCUCAAAACCUGGUUGGCCAGACCACACCAGGGGAAGCUGCUCCUGCAGGAAAGUCAAAGACCUUCAUUACCUGGUGUGCUGUGCCUUAAGCAUCAUUGCCAGUGGCAGGAUGUUGGAGUUCUUCUGCCUGUGUCACUGACUCAACAAGGGCCUGAUGUGUUUACUCCUGCUCAAAGAGGAGCCCAGCUUCUUAGCAUGGUUACAGCAGCAGUACAAAUAAGGGUAAGCCACUGAGUUAACACUACCUUGGUCAAGUUACUUCACCUCUUUGUGACUUGGGGUGUACAGGAUGAUCAUUACUGUGAACUUAGUCUCUGGUGCUCCAGGGUUUAACCAAACACACUGAAACAGCUGAAGAAAAGAGGUGAAACAAGCACUGCUCCAGUGCUUUAUGGUGUAAUGUUGGACAUGACACUCAGGUCAAGGUCUUCAAACUAGGAUGAGACUGAGAAAAAUGUUGCUUUUGGUGCUGGAGAGAGAUCUGUAGCGUGUCA